This 429-nucleotide ribosomal RNA is filed under the name Chloroflexota bacterium. RNAcentral's name for it is "Chloroflexi bacterium partial 16S ribosomal RNA". It matches the Rfam family "Bacterial small subunit ribosomal RNA", at positions 355 to 776 of the family's 1533-position model. Lineage: Bacteria; Bacillati; Chloroflexota. The record is from RNAcentral.
UAGGGAAUCUUCGGCAAUGGACGAAAGUCUGACCGAGCAACGCCGCGUGAGUGAAGAAGGUUUUCGGAUCGUAAAACUCUGUUGUUAGAGAAGAACAAGGACGUUAGUAACUGAACGUCCCCUGACGGUAUCUAACCAGAAAGCCACGGCUAACUACGUGCCAGCAGCCGCGGUAAUACGUAGGUGGCAAGCGUUGUCCGGAUUUAUUGGGCGUAAAGCGAGCGCAGGCGGUUUCUUAAGUCUGAUGUGAAAGCCCCCGGCUCAACCGGGGAGGGUCAUUGGAAACUGGGAGACUGGAGUGCAGAAGAGGAGAGUGGAAUUCCAUGUGUAGCGGUGAAAUGCGUGGAUAUAUGGAGGAACACCAGUGGCGAAGGCGGCUCGCUGGUCUGUAGCUGACGCUGAGGCUCGAAAGCGUGGGGAGCAAACAGG